This is a non-coding RNA of Podarcis lilfordi (Lilford's wall lizard), 107 nucleotides long. Lineage: Eukaryota; Metazoa; Chordata; Lepidosauria; Squamata; Lacertidae. The record is from the annotation of a GenBank genome assembly.
UUGAAAUGGUCUCUCUCUCUCUCUCUCUCUCUCUCUCUCUCUCUGUGUGUGUGUGUGUGUGAGAGAGAGAGAGAGAGAGAGAGAGAAUGUUGAGGCUCAAUGAUAAG